Sorghum bicolor (sorghum) is the source of this 2647-nucleotide long non-coding RNA. RefSeq lists it as uncharacterized. The record is from RefSeq and is a predicted model, not a curated record. The transcript has 5 exons. NCBI's taxonomy places the organism in Eukaryota, Viridiplantae, Streptophyta, Magnoliopsida, Poales, Poaceae.
AAGAUGGACUUUUUCUUCGUGCGGCGAUAGCUUUCGUCCGUCUGCCGUCUGAGCCGUGCGUCCGCGCGUCUGCGUACCCAGUCUGGCCCCCGUGAUUCCCUCCCCGAUCCCCUCCCCCUUUCCUAUCGCAUCCGCGCGAGUGCCACCGAUCCACGCGCUCCAAUCCGUUCGCGAGAGCGCCCCAAUCCGUCAGCGAGGGCGUCCGCGCGAGCGCCCCGAUCGCCUCCUCCUCUCUCGCGGUCAUCCCGUGCGUCGGAUUCGUCGCCAUCCAGGCGCUGCUCCAUCCUCCCCCACCGAUGCCGCCCUGUCCCUGCAGUGCCUCUCCUUCCCUCCUAUGACACCGCCAACUACGACGGCGAGGAUCGAGAUGGCGGCAGGGAUCCAUGCCGCGCAGUUUCCAGCGAAGCCCGACUCCCCUUACGGCACGGUGCAGCCGAGCACCUCCGGUGGCCGCGGCCGCAACUGCCCGCCCAGCGCCGCUCGCGCCUCGCCUCUACCGAGGUCACCACGCCGCUGCCACGUGCGACGAUGGCCGCCGCCCCGUUCCCCAUCAAGGUCGCGAGGCACGCAGAUCCGUGCUUCAUCCACGAAAUCUGGGCAGUACAUAUUUCUUUUUGCAUUUCAUUUGUUUCGAUCAUUUGCUUUAGAAGUCACCAAUUGAAUCUAGGCUAUCAAUUUUGAUGCACGUUAUAUGAUUGGAUGAGAUCUUGGCAAAAUUCUACUUCAUUCCCGUACAUGAACUCAACUGAGACAGCCUAAGGUAAGGGAGGUGGAAGAAAGAAAGGGACUGUUGCAAAAAAUAGUUUUCCAUUCUAUGAUUGAAGGGUUAACCAUUUGCAUUUAGUUUUGUGGUUUUUGUCAACCUGUGAGUUAGUAGAAAUUAUGGAAGGACCACUUUUGUAGUGUUAGAAGAGAAUUUCAGACACCUACAUGCUUUAUUUACAUGCUGUGUUUGUUAUGUAAAGCUUUAAGAUUAGGUACUUUAUCAUAUAUAGAUUUUGCUCGUGUCAUGUAAAAAUGCAAAAUAAUAACAAUAAUAUUAUUGUGCUUUUUAGUUGUAGGAGAUUUUGUAUUAACUUUGUGAUGUGAAUAACCUUCUACAAAAAUAAAGGUUAUAAGGAUCAGUUGCUUAUUAACACGCCAUCACCACUCCUACUGGGAGAAGUUAGUAGGUAAGUCAUACAUGUCAGAAUUCUUCCACUAUGCAAGUUUCUCAUAUGUUUUAUCUACUGUCUUUGUGUGCUGAAAAAAUUGUCUCAGUUCUACAUUGCUGAUUUUUCAAUUUCGUAUGAGUAUGCAAAGAAUUGGAUGAACAAGAUUUGCAAUUAUUAAUCACAUAGGAUUAGAUAGCUUUUAGGAUGAUGAUGAACCAAAGCAAGUGGAAGAGCACUCAGAGGAGACAAUUUUGAUUUUACAUAGUGACGAGGAAGAGCCGAUGCAAGUGGAUCCACUUUGUUUAUUGUACCUUUGAGCAGUCUGCAGUACAAAAUCCACUUCUGCAGAAAUGUAUAUAUAUCUUUUUUAUUGCUGCAGAGGUGCAUGUACAAAUAUCAACAGUUGUAGUUUUUGUUAUUUGCAUUAUGCUAAUUAAACCCCUGUGAAUUUCAUCCACUUUUCAGAUAACAAAUGAGCUUCUGUUGAAUUCUUUUCUCAAAGCAUAUGGGUUCUUGGAGUGUGCUAUCCAGCAUGGUAUUCCUAGGAUAUUUCCAGAAAAUAGGAAUUAUUCAGAAGACAAGGACAAUCAUGGAGUGUUUGCACCGGAUUAUAGUACAGAUAAAUCAAUGUGGCUUGGGUAUGGUUCCAUAAGUUCAAUGGUUUAGGGUUGGUUGGCAUAUACAAAUUAAUUGGUGACUGACUACGCCUAAGAAACACUUACUGCAGUUUUGAUGCUCUCCUGUACUUAGGCUGCUACUUUUUUUACAAUUUCAUUAUUUUCAUUCUGCUUAUAACAACUAGAUGUAGAAUUGCAUUUUAAUCGAUGUGCUGUGUUUUUCAUGUUACAUUUCAUUCGUCAAACAACUACACAACCGCUUCUGAGGAGAGACUUGGGCAGCUCAUUCAGAAGUUGAAAAAGGAAGAUGUUAAUACUAAGUAGUGGAGACAUGGAUAUCACCCAAAUUCCCGUUUAAGCUAGAACAUUACUGAGAUCAGGUUUUCUGAUAACCAAUCUUUCUUUGUAGCAUAUGCGAGAGGAGCCACCUUUAUUACUGUGAUUACCAGUACAGAGAGCUGAGUUCAGGACCUCAGUUCAGGCAAGCACAUCGGCACCAGUAUUGCAUCAGUUGAACAUUGGCUAUUGAGAAGGACAGCCAUGCUGCUGAGAUGGGAUCCACGGAGAGAGCUACGGGCGAUGAGAGAAAAGUGACAGAGAAUGGUGCUUGAUAUUUUCAGCUCUCACCCGAAUGCUCGCAUUGGUCGAGAAUCAUGAAGCGAAGGGUUACAACAGAUUAUACUUUUAGGAAUGAAAAAAUGUGGAAUUUGUUUUUAUCUCUUGAUUAUAGUCAGAUGCUUUCUCUUGGGAGAAAUGGUGCGCAUUGUAUAUUGUUUUGUUAUAUAUAUAUAUAUAUAUAUAUAUAUAUAUAUAUAUAUAUAUUCGACUUGUGUAAGGAUAGUAUAGAGAUAUGAUAUGAAAUUAUUUGUGGAUUUA